This 276-nucleotide ribosomal RNA is filed under the name uncultured prokaryote. RNAcentral's name for it is "partial 16S ribosomal RNA". It matches the Rfam family "Bacterial small subunit ribosomal RNA", at positions 524 to 800 of the family's 1533-position model. The record is from RNAcentral.
UACGUAGGGGGCUAGCGUUAUCCGGAAUUACUGGGCGUAAAGGGUGCGUAGGUGGUUUCUUAAGUCAGAGGUGAAAGGCUACGGCUCAACCGUAGUAAGCCUUUGAAACUGAGAAACUUGAGUGCAGGAGAGGAGAGUAGAAUUCCUAGUGUAGCGGUGAAAUGCGUAGAGAUAUGGAGGAACACCAGUGGCGAAGGCGGCUUCCUGGUCUGUAACUGACACUGAGGCGCGAAAGCGUGGGGAGCAAACAGGAUUAGAUACCCCUGUAGUCCCUGA